GCCAGUGCCACUCCUUGGCAAUNCUAUUCCUUUUCUAUCAUCAAUCUCACAUAUGAUUGGAGCCAACCUAGAUCUAUAUACCAUACAAUUAUUUCCUUUCAACAAGGAAGUGGGCAGCACAUUUUUGCUGCCACAGCCAAGCUGCUUAAAUGAAUGAUGUCCCAACACACGCAUUUGGAAUCCAGAUAAUUGUGGAGAGGAGAUGAAAACAGUAUUUUGAUGUGUUCUUCCUUUGCUGCGUCUGUAGGUGCCCCUCCUACCGAAGCCAGUGGGAAGACUAUUGGUACAUGGGCCCCAAGUGUGAGUCUCUCUGGAGUACUGCAGACCUGAUUGUAGUAGCUACUCUCCCUGCCCUCGCCUUGGCUGCAAUAGCUGCUGUUACAGUGCAGUGCAUCGGCUCUUGUAAGAACAAGCCAAAGAANAGGGUGAAACACAGCAGGUGAGUCCUUCCUGUUCUAAGGAACCAAGUGCAAAAACACCCCUAGUGACCACAAGGGCAUACCUAUGCUGUUUUCUUGACAACAGUAAAGAAGAGGUUUGCCACUCGCUUCUUCCAGGGCAGUGNAGGAACUGAAUCUGGGGCUUUCUGCAUGCAACGCGGACACACUACCACUGAGAUAUGUUGUACGCUCAAGUGGGCGCGUCUUCCUUUCGAAGUGUACAAAUGGUGAUUCUGAAAAAGAGUGACAUGUUUUUCACAUAAUAUGCUUUCAGCCCCAGCGCAAGACAACCAAGACCUCCAGGACCUUUAAACUCAAGUCACAAUCCUUACCUGGCUAAUAAGGAUGAUGGAGCACAAGAGACGAUCUUCCCCAGACUGACUCUUCAGAGCCAAUUUCAAGGAAGCUCCUUCGAACAAGUGAACCCAGAGCAUGUUGGAGGUUUUAGUGCCCUACACCCACCAUUGAGAAGACUCAUUCCAAAAGAAACUGGACCCUUGACGAAUUGGUCUUCAGGAGGCAAUCAGAACGGUCCGUGGGAACCUGAGAUGCCUAAUAAUGUUUAUGAAGAAAACCCAUUUUCAGAUAUACCCAUGCGACAGUUCAAUACACCUGAUGCCUCAGUGUUCCCUCAGCCUGACUAUCAUCAGCAUGCCCCGAAUUAUUUGAAUGCUCAAAGAGGAAGCAGACCAUACGGGAUUGGGCGUGCUCAGAACAUACGCACUUAGAAGCUUUUUUAAAGCCAAGCUGGAAAAUACUGUGGAAUGGUAGCAUUUCAGCCUUAUUCCUUCACUCUGUUAAAAUUUAGCUUGUAAAGUGCUUCUCAACAGAUGAAUACCUUUGUGGCAAGUGCGUCCCCAGCCAUAUCAAGAAAUUUGAGGUGACAAUCUUCCUUACUUAGCAGUAGAAUCUACCUCCAGCCAAAGCCUCUGAAGUUCAUCAAGAUCAGCGUUUAUCAACUUACCGGUAGUUCCAGUCAUCUGAAGUUACUUUCUGUGCUGGUCUCUGCUCCAACCUGCCUUUCUUUCAUGCAGAAGGAGGUAAUGAGUACAGGCUUAAUAGAUAUAGGAUUGACGCAUUCAUGGUUUCAUGGCGCAGGUUUGCAGCAGGUUUGCAGCAGGGCAAAACUAGCAAAUAUUAAUCUUGCCACUUAAAGAAAACAAUAUGGCUUUCAGGGAAGAAGUUUUCUAAAAGAUGCACAUAGAGGAUCUCUUGGGCAUUUUUUCCCUGUUAACUUUAUCUCUGAACAAAAUUCAGUCCUGCUUUGAUUUUUCUGACUAACAAAAUUCGUUUUUGAGUUCAUCACUGUAAUCUUCCUGGAAGAAGGCAAUGGCAAACCACUUCUGUAUUUUUGCCAAGAAAACUGCUUGAUUAUGUCCAUGUAGUCAUCACAUAUUAAGCUCAAUGCGGGUGUCUUUACCUUUAAGUAACGGAUACUAUGAAUUCUAAUUAUUAAAAACUUUCAAAAGAUCAAAUACUAAGUAUUAACUGAAGCAACUGUUUGCCUUUAAGUGUCCUUUAUGAAACUUAAUAGUUUUGUCUAGUGUGA
Molecule: long non-coding RNA, 1989 nt
Organism: Salvator merianae (Argentine black and white tegu)
Lineage: Eukaryota; Metazoa; Chordata; Lepidosauria; Squamata; Teiidae
Source: Ensembl